RNAcentral lists this ribosomal RNA (275 nucleotides) under uncultured bacterium. RNAcentral describes it as "partial 16S ribosomal RNA". It matches the Rfam family "Bacterial small subunit ribosomal RNA", at positions 523 to 796 of the family's 1533-position model. The record is from RNAcentral.
AUACGGGGGGGGCGAGCGUUGUCCGGAAUUAUUGGGCGUAAAGGGCGCGUAGGCGGGAUGGUAAGUCAGAGGUGAAAAUCCGGAGCUUAACUCCGUGACCUGCCUUUGAUACUGCCGUUCUUGAGUGCGAGAGAGGAAAGCGGAAUUCCCGGUGUAGCGGUGAAAUGCGUAGAUAUCGGGAAGAACACCGGUAGCGAAGGCGGCUUUCUGGCUCGCAACUGACGCUGAGGCGCGAAAGCGUGGGGAGCAAACAGGAUUAGAUACCCCUGUAGUCC